This 394-nucleotide ribosomal RNA is filed under the name uncultured bacterium. RNAcentral's name for it is "partial 16S ribosomal RNA". It matches the Rfam family "Bacterial small subunit ribosomal RNA", at positions 523 to 918 of the family's 1533-position model. The record is from RNAcentral.
AUACGUAGGGAGCGAGCGUUGUCCGGAAUUACUGGGCGUAAAGGGCGCGUAGGCGGCGCUUCAAGUCGUCUGUCAAAUGGGAGGGCUUAACCCUUUUUCGCAGACGAAACUGGAGAGCUUGAGAAGCAGAGAGGCAAACAGAAUUCCUGGUGUAGCGGUGAAAUGCGUAGAUAUCAGGAAGAAUACCAGUGGCGAAGGCGGUUUGCUGGCUGCAUACUGACGCUGAAGCGCGAAAGCCAGGGGAGCAAACGGGAUUAGAUACCCCGGUAGUCCUGGCAGUAAACGAUGUAUGCUGGGUGUGAGACUAGCGAUAGUUUCGUGCCGAAGUUAACGCGAUAAGCAUACCGCCUGGGGAGUACGGUCGCAAGAUUGAAACUCAAAUGAAUUGACGGGG